Acanthosepion pharaonis is the source of this 113-nucleotide non-coding RNA. The record is from the annotation of a GenBank genome assembly. NCBI's taxonomy places the organism in Eukaryota, Metazoa, Mollusca, Cephalopoda, Sepiida, Sepiidae.
UUGGUCAGAUCACUCUGAAAACAUGUGUUCUCAUUCGAUCACUGAAGUUAAGCAAAGUUGAACCCGAUCAGUACUUACGUGGCGGACUACUUGAAAACAUCGGGUACUGUAAG